This 595-nucleotide ribosomal RNA is filed under the name uncultured Pseudomonadota bacterium. RNAcentral's name for it is "bacterial SSU rRNA". It matches the Rfam family "Bacterial small subunit ribosomal RNA", at positions 329 to 915 of the family's 1533-position model. The record is from RNAcentral. Lineage: Bacteria; Pseudomonadati; Pseudomonadota.
CAGGUCACUCCUACGGGAGGCAGCAGUGGGGAAUUUUGGACAAUGGGGGCAACCCUGAUCCAGCCAUGCCGCGUGCGGGAAGAAGGCCUUCGGGUUGUAAACCGCUUUUAGCCGGGACGAAAGCUGUACGGAUAACACCCGUGCGGGUUGACGGUACCGGCGGAAUAAGCACCGGCUAACUACGUGCCAGCAGCCGCGGUAAUACGUAGGGUGCGAGCGUUAAUCGGAAUUACUGGGCGUAAAGCGUGCGCAGGCGGUUCGUUGUGUCGGCGGUGAAAGCCCGGAGCUCAACUCCGGAAUUGCCAUUGAAACUGUUUGGCUCGAGUACGAGAGAGGUGAGUGGAAUUCCCAGUGUAGAGGUGAAAUUCGUAGAUAUUGGGAAGAACACCGGUGGCGAAGGCGGCUCACUGGCUCGUAACUGACGCUGAGACGCGAAAGCGUGGGGAGCAAACAGGAUUAGAUACCCUGGUAGUCCACGCUGUAAACGAUGGGUGCUAGUUGUGGCGGGUUUUGACCCCUGCCGUGACGCAGCUAACGCAAUAAGCACCCCGCCUGGGAAGUACGGCCGCAAGGCUGAAACUUAAAGGAAUUGACG